Molecule: ribosomal RNA, 253 nt
Filed under: uncultured bacterium
Lineage: Bacteria
Description: partial 16S ribosomal RNA
Rfam family: Bacterial small subunit ribosomal RNA
Source: RNAcentral
UACAGGGGGUGCAAGCGUUGCUCGGAAUCACUGGGCGUAAAGCGAACGCAGGCGGACCAUCAAGUCAGGGGUGAAAGCCCGAGGCUCAACCUCGGAACUGCCCUUGAAACUGGUGGUCUUGAGUACGGGAGAGGUGAGUGGAAUUCCUGGUGUAGAGGUGAAAUUCGUAGAUAUCAGGAGGAACACCGGUGGCGAAAGCGGCUCACUGGCCCGAUACUGACGCUCAUGUUCGAAAGCGUGGGGAGCAAACAGG